This 76-nucleotide transfer RNA is filed under the name Candidatus Babelota bacterium. Its description in RNAcentral is "tRNA-Asn". It matches the Rfam family "tRNA". From Rfam's summary of the family: Transfer RNA (tRNA) molecules are approximately 80 nucleotides in length. Their secondary structure includes four short double-helical elements and three loops (D, anti-codon, and T loops). RNAcentral also lists the same sequence under 1 other name. The record is from RNAcentral.
UCCUCGGUAGCUCAGUUGGUAGAGCACACGACUGUUAAUCGUUAGGUCACAGGUUCGAGUCCUGUCCGAGGAGCCA